CCUCCUGUACAGGUUUAUUUGCAAGAUGGGUUUGAGGGAAUUAAGGAUAAAGUCUGCUGAAAGUAGCACCAGCCUCUGGAUUAAAAGGGAUGUUUGGAUGAAGCUUCAAUCUCAAGAAGAGGCAAGAGAAAACUAAAGAAAAAGUCUCAAAAAAAAAAAAAAAAGAUGCUAAGAGAGAUCACUUUCGACCCAUUUACAUUAUGAUGCAAUAUGAAAAUAAAAUAAAUACCACUCUAACAUUUUCAGGACAUAUGGCAAUUCUCCCUGUGCUGAUUUUUUUUAAAUGUAUCUCUGCAGUAUUAACAUCCUCUAAAUCAUUCUCUUUGUUUUAGAGACAAGAAGGUAGUUGACAAGCUGUGAACCUGCAUUGCAUUCUAGUGAUGGGACACGUGGAAGGGGAAGCUGAAGUUGAAGGGUGGAUGGUAGCAGCCACAGGGAGUGAGAUGGGCUCGUUUCUGGAGCUGUUGGGAGAGAAAAAGGGAGUCAAACGGGAAUUCACACAGGGUUGUGCAUUAUAUCCAAGUGUGUAUUCAGAUACAAGCCUUUAUCUCAAUACCUUCCUUACCCCCAUUCCGCACAUAUCUCAUACCAAAGUACAAAUAAAACCAUUCCCAA
This 615-nucleotide long non-coding RNA is filed under the name Homo sapiens (human). Its description in RNAcentral is "non-protein coding EPHA1-AS1:4". The record is from RNAcentral. Lineage: Eukaryota; Metazoa; Chordata; Mammalia; Primates; Hominidae.